RNAcentral lists this transfer-messenger RNA (369 nucleotides) under Novosphingobium sp. APW14. It matches the Rfam family "Alphaproteobacteria transfer-messenger RNA". Rfam says of the family: Bacterial tmRNA, also known as 10Sa RNA or SsrA, is named for its dual tRNA and mRNA-like properties. Its role is to liberate the mRNA from a stalled ribosome. To accomplish this part of the tmRNA is used as a reading frame that ends in a translation stop signal. The record is from RNAcentral. Lineage: Bacteria; Pseudomonadati; Pseudomonadota; Alphaproteobacteria; Sphingomonadales; Sphingomonadaceae.
GCCCUUUUCAUUUGGCCCCAGGCUCCCUAUAUCCGUUUUGCCGGGUUCGCCCGGCUAUGGCGAUAAACUGCGGCGUGCAAUAGGCGCAGCGGACCCGGGGGCGGUACCCGGCGGCUCCACCAUUGUCUCCUUCCCUCUCGGGAGGGGGCCUGCUCCGGCAGGGACAAUGACGGGGCCGAACUAGGAUCGACGUGUGUUGAAAAGCGCUGUUUUUGCCCGGGCUGAGUAACCCGUUCAAGGCUCAAAACUCACAAGUGCCAACGAUAACGAAGCACUUGCUCUUGCUGCGUAAUUCUAGGGCCUAGCGGCCUGAAGUUACACUACCAAGAACGGGGUCCGGGGCGUACCUUGCAACAGAAACGCCCCACU